ACCUCAUAUUCGGGGAGCUUGCAGCCGCCGUAUGGGCGGCCGGGCAGGCUGAGAGGAGGCGCCGCAUACGCCUCGACCCGCCGAACCUGCUGUGGGUAAUGCCAACGAAGGGAGUUUUAUGAUCGAAGAU
Molecule: non-coding RNA, 130 nt
Filed under: Adlercreutzia caecimuris
Lineage: Bacteria; Bacillati; Actinomycetota; Coriobacteriia; Eggerthellales; Eggerthellaceae
Also listed under: 1 other name
Description: Enterorhabdus caecimuris TPP sequence
Rfam family: TPP riboswitch aptamer (THI element)
About the family: Vitamin B(1) in its active form thiamin pyrophosphate (TPP) is an essential coenzyme that is synthesised by coupling of pyrimidine and thiazole moieties in bacteria.
Source: RNAcentral